UGUGGCCCGACUCGGUUAGGCGCGACCAGGGCGACCGACGCAGCCACGCGCGGCGCGGCCGGCGAUGCGGCUAACGCGGCAGCCAGGGCGAAGCGCGGCCGUCGACCGACGCUGCGGGCGCGGUCGACGCUGUUUGGGCGACCAGCAGAUCGGGCACGGCUGAGCGCGUUGGGCACGCCGUGGUCAUGGCUAGCACGGCCAUGGUGACGACGGUGGUACUGUAGCAGCUUGGAAAAAACAGAUCGUGCGUCAGCGGGACGUGACGGCGUGUGCACAUCUGGUACAUCACGGCGGUGUCGUGCUUAUCUGAAGUACGUGUAAUCACCGUCUUCCUAGGAUGUAGUCAACAAAUCUCUCUUGAUCCAAGAACAUCGACAUUGGUCGGCGACGUGUUCGUCAGCCAGUUCUUGGGAGAGAAAUCCACGUCGUAGGUAAAUUAAAUCCGAAAAAUAAACUAAGCGCAAAAACGAAAUCGUGAUAGCGAGAUGAAUCCAUUUUUGUAAAGAGAGGGAUUGGAUCUUGUACCUCCGUGCGAUCGACGAGAGCCUGCUUGGUGCAGGCUUGACACACGCUCGAUGGAGAGUUGAUGGAGCGUGCUAAUAACGUG
RNAcentral lists this long non-coding RNA (607 nucleotides) under Hordeum vulgare. Its description in RNAcentral is "long non-coding RNA (HVUL_LNC013030)". The record is from RNAcentral. Lineage: Eukaryota; Viridiplantae; Streptophyta; Magnoliopsida; Poales; Poaceae.